GAUGAACGCUGGCGGCGUGCUUAACACAUGCAAGUCGAACGAGUCAUAUUCGUAUGGCUAGUGGCAGACGGGUGCGUAACACGUGGGUGACCUGCCCUUGAGUGGGGAAUAACGCGACUAACGUCGCGCUAAUACCGCAUAGGCUGGCCGAUUCGGUUCGGUCAGUAAAGCAGUGAUGCGCUUGGGGAUGGGCCUGCGGCGGAUUAGGUAGUUGGUGGGGUAAGGGCCUACCAAGGCGACGAUCAGUAGCCGACCUGAGAGGGUGAUCGGCCACAUUGGAACUGAGACACGGUCCAAACUCCUACGGGAGACAGCAGUGGGGAAUAUUGCACAAUGGGCGAAAGCCUGAUGCAGCAACGCCGCGUGAGCGAAGAAGGCCUUUGGGUCGUAAAGCUCUGUCGGGUAGGAAGAUAAUGACGGUACUACCCGAGGAAGCCCCGGCUAACUACGUG
Molecule: ribosomal RNA, 452 nt
Filed under: uncultured bacterium
Lineage: Bacteria
Description: bacterial SSU rRNA
Rfam family: Bacterial small subunit ribosomal RNA
Source: RNAcentral